GGGUUGUGAGGUUAAGCGACUAAGCGUACACGGUGGAUGCCCUGGCAGUCAGAGGCGAUGAAGGGCGUGCUAAUCUGCGAUAAGCGCCGGUAAGGUGAUAUGAACCGUUAUAACCGGCGAUACCCGAAUGGGGAAACCCAGUGUGAUUCGUCACACUAUCAUUAACUGAAUCCAUAGGUUAAUGAGGCGAACCGGGGGAACUGAAACAUCUAAGUACCCCGAGGAAAAGAAAUCAACCGAGAUUCCCCCAGUAGCGGCGAGCGAACGGGGAGGAGCCCAGAGCCUGAAUCAGCAUGUGUGUUAGUGGAAGCGUCUGGAAAGGCGCGCGAUACAGGGUGACAGCCCCGUACACAAAAGCGCAUGUGCUGUGAGCUCGAUGAGUAGGGCGGGACACGUGGUAUCCUGUCUGAAUAUGGGGGGACCAUCCUCCAAGGCUAAAUACUCCUGACUGACCGAUAGUGAACCAGUACCGUGAGGGAAAGGCGAAAAGAACCCCGGCGAGGGGAGUGAAAAAGAACCUGAAACCGUGUACGUACAAGCAGUGGGAGCCCCACCACCAAAGCAUUCUCUGGUGUUGAAGGCCCUGCAAAGCAGCAUCGCGGUGGCGGAGCGUCGUUUGCGACGCCCAACACACAAAACAAGCGGUGAGUGCUUUGGGGUGGGGUGACUGCGUACCUUUUGUAUAAUGGGUCAGCGACUUAUAUUCUGUAGCAAGGUUAACCGUCUAGGGGAGCCGCAGGGAAACCGAGUCUUAAUUGGGCGUUAAGUUGCAGGGUAUAGACCCGAAACCCGGUGAUCUAGCCAUGGGCAGGUUGAAGGUUGGGUAACACUAACUGGAGGACCGAACCGACUAAUGUUGAAAAAUUAGCGGAUGACCUGUGGCUGGGGGUGAAAGGCCAAUCAAACCGGGAGAUAGCUGGUUCUCCCCGAAAGCUAUUUAGGUAGCGCCUCGUGAAUUCAUCUCCGGGGGUAGAGCACUGUUUCGGCUAGGGGGCCAUCCCGGCUUACCAACCCGAUGCAAACUGCGAAUACCGGAGAAUGUUAUCACGGGAGACACACGGCGGGUGCUAACGUCCGUCGUGAAGAGGGAAACAACCCAGACCGCCAGCUAAGGUCCCAAAGUCAUGGUUAAGUGGGAAACGAUGUGGGAAGGCCCAGACAGCCAGGAUGUUGGCUUAGAAGCAGCCAUCAUUUAAAGAAAGCGUAAUAGCUCACUGGUCGAGUCGGCCUGCGCGGAAGAUGUAACGGGGCUAAACCAUGCACCGAAGCUGCGGCAGCGAACGUAUCACUUAAAGCGAUUCAGCGGGUUACGAUUGACGGAGCGAAGCGACGUCAAAGCGUAUACAAAGUCGAGUCGGUUUAAGGAUACGUUCGUUGGGUAGGGGAGCGUUCUGUAAGCCUGUGAAGGUGGCCUGUGAGGGUUGCUGGAGGUAUCAGAAGUGCGAAUGCUGACAUAAGUAACGAUAAAGCGGGUGAAAAGCCCGCUCGCCGGAAGACCAAGGGUUCCUGUCCAACGUUAAUCGGGGCAGGGUGAGUCGACCCCUAAGGCGAGGCCGAAAGGCGUAGUCGAUGGGAAACGGGUUAAUAUUCCCGUACUUGGUGUUACUGCGAAGGGGGGACGGAGAAGGCUAUGUUGGCCGGGCGACGGUUGUCCCGGUUUAAGCGUGUAGGUGUGUGUUCCAGGUAAAUCCGGUUCACUUUAACACUGAGGCGUGACGACGAGGCACUACGGUGCUGAAGCAACAAAUGCCCUGCUUCCAGGAAAAGCCUCUAAGCAUCAGGUAACAUCAAAUCGUACCCCAAACCGACACAGGUGGUCAGGUAGAGAAUACCAAGGCGCUUGAGAGAACUCGGGUGAAGGAACUAGGCAAAAUGGUGCCGUAACUUCGGGAGAAGGCACGCUGACACGUAGGUGAAGUGAUUUACUCACGGAGCUGAAGUCAGUCGAAGAUACCAGCUGGCUGCAACUGUUUAUUAAAAACACAGCACUGUGCAAACACGAAAGUGGACGUAUACGGUGUGACGCCUGCCCGGUGCCGGAAGGUUAAUUGAUGGGGUCAGCGCAAGCGAAGCUCCUGAUCGAAGCCCCGGUAAACGGCGGCCGUAACUAUAACGGUCCUAAGGUAGCGAAAUUCCUUGUCGGGUAAGUUCCGACCUGCACGAAUGGCGUAAUGAUGGCCAGGCUGUCUCCACCCGAGACUCAGUGAAAUUGAACUCGCUGUGAAGAUGCAGUGUACCCGCGGCAAGACGGAAAGACCCCGUGAACCUUUACUAUAGCUUGACACUGAACAUUGAGCCUUGAUGUGUAGGAUAGGUGGGAGGCUUUGAAGCGUGGACGCCAGUCUGCGUGGAGCCGACCUUGAAAUACCACCCUUUAAUGUUUGAUGUUCUAACGUGGACCCGUUACCCGGGUUGCGGACAGUGUCUGGUGGGUAGUUUGACUGGGGCGGUCUCCUCCUAAAGAGUAACGGAGGAGCACGAAGGUUGGCUAAUCCUGGUCGGACAUCAGGAGGUUAGUGCAAUGGCAUAAGCCAGCUUGACUGCGAGCGUGACGGCGCGAGCAGGUGCGAAAGCAGGUCAUAGUGAUCCGGUGGUUCUGAAUGGAAGGGCCAUCGCUCAACGGAUAAAAGGUACUCCGGGGAUAACAGGCUGAUACCGCCCAAGAGUUCAUAUCGACGGCGGUGUUUGGCACCUCGAUGUCGGCUCAUCACAUCCUGGGGCUGAAGUAGGUCCCAAGGGUAUGGCUGUUCGCCAUUUAAAGUGGUACGCGAGCUGGGUUUAGAACGUCGUGAGACAGUUCGGUCCCUAUCUGCCGUGGGCGCUGGAGAACUGAGGGGGGCUGCUCCUAGUACGAGAGGACCGGAGUGGACGCAUCACUGGUGUUCGGGUUGUCAUGCCAAUGGCACUGCCCGGUAGCUAAAUGCGGAAGAGAUAAGUGCUGAAAGCAUCUAAGCACGAAACUUGCCCCGAGAUGAGUUCUCCCUGAGACUUUAGGUCUCCUGAAGGAACGUUGAAGACGACGACGUUGAUAGGCCGGGUGUGUAAGCGCAGCGAUGCGUUGAGCUAACCGGUACUAAUGAACCGUGAGGCUUAACCUUACAACGCCGAAG
Molecule: ribosomal RNA, 3110 nt
Filed under: Salmonella enterica subsp. enterica serovar Mbandaka str. ATCC 51958
Lineage: Bacteria; Pseudomonadati; Pseudomonadota; Gammaproteobacteria; Enterobacterales; Enterobacteriaceae
Description: bacterial LSU rRNA
Rfam family: Bacterial large subunit ribosomal RNA
Source: RNAcentral